This 184-nucleotide ribosomal RNA is filed under the name uncultured bacterium. RNAcentral's name for it is "partial 16S ribosomal RNA". It matches the Rfam family "Bacterial small subunit ribosomal RNA", at positions 173 to 353 of the family's 1533-position model. The record is from RNAcentral.
UAAGAUUGUAGCUUCGCAUGAAGUAGCAAUUAAAGGAGUAAUCCACUAUGAGAUGGGCCCGCGGCGCAUUAGCUAGUUGGUGAGGUAACGGCUCACCAAGGCGACGAUGCGUAGCCGACCUGAGAGGGUGAUCGGCCACCAUUGGGACUGAGACACGGCCCAGACUCCUACGGGAGGCAGCAUG